CAACAGGGAUUGCCCUAGUAACGGCGAGUGAAGCGGCAACAGCUCAAAUUUGAAAUCUGGCCCUCUUUGGGGGUCCGAGUUGUAAUUUGCAGAGGGUGCUUUGGUGUUGACAGCGGUCUAAGUUCCUUGGAACAGGACGUCACAGAGGGUGAGAAUCCCGUACGUGGCCGCUUGCCUCCGCCGUGUAAAGCCCCUUCGACGAGUCGAGUUGUUUGGGAAUGCAGCUCUAAAUGGGAGGUAAAUUUCUUCUAAAGCUAAAUACUGGCCAGAGACCGAUAGCGCACAAGUAGAGUGAUCGAAAGAUGAAAAGCACUUUGGAAAGAGAGUCAAACAGCACGUGAAAUUGUUGAAAGGGAAGCGCUUGCAGCCAGACUUGCCCGUAGUUGCUCACCCGGACUUUUGCCCGGGGCACUCUUCUGCGGGCAGGCCAGCAUCAGUUUGGGCGACCGGAUAACGGCCUCUGUCAUGUAUCUUCCUCCGGGAUGACCUUAUAGGGGAGGCGUAAUGCGGCCAGCCUGGACUGAGGUCCGCGCUUCGGCUAGGAUGCUGGCGUAAUGGCUGUAAGCGGCCCGUCUUGAAACACGGACCAAGGAGUCUAACAUCUAUGCGAGUGUUUGGGUGUCAAGCCCGGGCGCGUAAUGAAAGUGAACGGAGGUGGGAACCCUUUCGGGGGCGCACCAUCGACCGAUCCUGAUGUCUUCGGAUGGAUUUGAGUAAGAGCAUAGCUGUUGGGACCCGAAAGAUGGUGAACUAUGCUUGAAUAGGGUGAAGCCAGAGGAAACUCUGGUGGAGGCUCGCAGCGGUUCUGACGUGCAAAUCGAUCGUCAAAUUUGGGCAUAGGGGCGAAAGACUAAUCGAACU
Molecule: ribosomal RNA, 861 nt
Filed under: Setoseptoria arundinacea
Lineage: Eukaryota; Fungi; Ascomycota; Dothideomycetes; Pleosporales; Lentitheciaceae
Description: eukaryotic LSU rRNA
Rfam family: Eukaryotic large subunit ribosomal RNA
Source: RNAcentral